ACGAACGCUGGCGGCGUGCUUAACACAUGCAAGUCGAACGGAAAGGCCCUGCUUUUGUGGGGUGCUCGAGUGGCGAACGGGUGAGUAACACGUGAGUAACCUGCCCUUGACUUUGGGAUAACUUCAGGAAACUGGGACUAAUACCGGAUAGGAGCUCCUGCUGCAUGGUGGGGGUUGGAAAGUUUCGGCGGUUGGGGAUGGACUCGCGGCUUAUCAGCUUGUUGGUGGGGUAGUGGCUUACCAAGGCUUUGACGGGUAGCCGGCCUGAGAGGGUGACCGGCCACAUUGGGACUGAGAUACGGCCCAGACUCCUACGGGAGGCAGCAGUGGGGAAUAUUGCACAAUGGGCGGAAGCCUGAUGCAGCAACGCCGCGUGCGGGAUGACGGCCUUCGGGUUGUAAACCGCUUUCGCCUGUGACGAAGCGUGAGUGACGGUAAUGGGUAAAGAAGCACCGGCUAACUACGUG
RNAcentral lists this ribosomal RNA (467 nucleotides) under uncultured bacterium. Its description in RNAcentral is "partial 16S ribosomal RNA". It matches the Rfam family "Bacterial small subunit ribosomal RNA", at positions 29 to 507 of the family's 1533-position model. The record is from RNAcentral.